Molecule: ribosomal RNA, 416 nt
Filed under: Dominikia disticha
Lineage: Eukaryota; Fungi; Glomeromycota; Glomeromycetes; Glomerales; Glomeraceae
Description: partial large subunit ribosomal RNA
Source: RNAcentral
AGAGUUAAAUAGUACGUGAAAUUGUUGAAAGGGAAACGAUUGAAGCCAGUCGUACUGACGGAAAAUCAGUUCUUCGAGUGCGGGAUCGUGUGUGCGAGGAGUUUAACCGCCUUCGUUGCGUGCGAUACCUGUGCUUCUGGGGCGUACUUUUUCGUAUGGUAGGUCAGCAUCGAUUUCGAUCGCCAUAAAAUGGCCGGUGGAAUGUAGCUCCGAUCUUGUAUUGGAGUGUUAUAGCCUCUGGUAGAUGUGGUGGUUGGGAUCGAGGAUUGCAACGAAUACCCUUUCGGGCUAUCCGUCUGACCUCUGAAAGUCAUUUGGGUGUCGAAAGCUUGCUUACGGUCAUUCAAAUUGGCGGUCAAAAGGUUAGAACGCGAUUAUAUUCGUUAAGGAUGUUGACGUAAUGGCUUUAAACGACC